This 75-nucleotide transfer RNA is filed under the name Chlamydia psittaci. RNAcentral describes it as "tRNA-Ala". It matches the Rfam family "tRNA". Rfam says of the family: Transfer RNA (tRNA) molecules are approximately 80 nucleotides in length. Their secondary structure includes four short double-helical elements and three loops (D, anti-codon, and T loops). Lineage: Bacteria; Pseudomonadati; Chlamydiota; Chlamydiia; Chlamydiales; Chlamydiaceae. The record is from RNAcentral. RNAcentral also lists the same sequence under 2 other names.
UGGGGUAUUAGCUCAAUUGGUAGAGCGCAACAAUGGCAUUGUUGAGGUCAGCGGUUCGAUUCCGCUAUACUCCAU